GAUGAACGCUGACAGAAUGCUUAACACAUGCAAGUCAUUGGCGAAGCUGCGCUUGCGCAGUCUAGCCAAGGCGGACGGGUGAGUAACGCGUAAGGAACUUGCCCUGCAGACAGGGAUAACAGACGGAAACGACUGAUAACACCUGGUAUUGUCAGGCUGGCGCAUGCCGGCCUGAUGAAAGGAGACGCUGCAGGAGAGCCUUGCGUCCUAUUAGCUAGUUGGUGGGGUAACGGCCCACCAAGGCGAUGAUAGGUGGCCGGCCUGAGAGGGUGAACGGCCACAAGGGGACUGAGAUACGGCCCUUACUCCUACGGGAGGCAGCAGUGGGGAAUAGUGGACAAGGGGGGCAACCCUGAUCCAGCAAUUCUGUGUGCACGAAGAAGGUUUUCGGAUUGUAAAGUGCUUUCAGCAGGGAAGAAGAAAGUGACGGUACCUGCAGAAGAAGCGACGGCUAAAUACGUG
RNAcentral lists this ribosomal RNA (462 nucleotides) under uncultured bacterium. Its description in RNAcentral is "partial 16S ribosomal RNA". It matches the Rfam family "Bacterial small subunit ribosomal RNA", at positions 28 to 507 of the family's 1533-position model. The record is from RNAcentral.